This 425-nucleotide ribosomal RNA is filed under the name uncultured bacterium. Its description in RNAcentral is "partial 16S ribosomal RNA". It matches the Rfam family "Bacterial small subunit ribosomal RNA", at positions 354 to 796 of the family's 1533-position model. The record is from RNAcentral.
GUGGGGAAUAUUGCACAAUGGGCGAAAGCCUGAUGCAGCGACGCCGCGUGAGCGAUGAAGUAUUUCGGUACGUAAAGCUCUAUCAGCAGGGAAGAUAAUGACGGUACCAGACUAAGAAGCACCGGCUAAAUACGUGCCAGCAGCCGCGGUAAUACGUAUGGUGCAAGCGUUAUCCGGAUUUACUGGGUGUAAAGGGAGCGUAGGCGGCGUGGUAAGUCAGAAGUGAAAGCCCGGGGCUCAACCCCGGGACUGCUUUUGAAACUAUCAUGCUAGAGUGUCGGAGAGGUAAGUGGAAUUCCUAGUGUAGCGGUGAAAUGCGUAGAUAUUAGGAGGAACACCAGUGGCGAAGGCGGCUUACUGGACGAUAACUGACGCUGAGGCUCGAAAGCGUGGGGAGCAAACAGGAUUAGAUACCCCGGUAGUCC